UCAGAGUGGCAAAGAUAAAGGCAAAUUCUGUCAGCGGACAGAACUUGAUCACAGGACACAUGGUUGAAUCACAGAACAUAAAGAAAUCAAACUGGGAUCACCAUAGAAGUGGGAAUUAAGAGCCAGAGAUGAUGGAGGCCCACAGUGGAAUAUUACAUUCUGGAAACAGCAGGGGACCUGCAUGUAUGGAUUUACAGGGAUUUAAAAAACAUGCACAGAAUCUGGGAAGCCUGAUCCAAACAAAAUACCAGCGUAGAGAGCAGAGUUUUGUCCAUAAACCCACAAAUACUUUGGCACACUUGAUUAUGGUUAGCUUUGUAGGAAGAGAGACAGUUUUUC
This is a long non-coding RNA of Mastomys coucha (southern multimammate mouse), 339 nucleotides long. RefSeq lists it as uncharacterized. The transcript is spliced from 3 exons. The record is from RefSeq and is a predicted model, not a curated record. Lineage: Eukaryota; Metazoa; Chordata; Mammalia; Rodentia; Muridae.